CGGCGGCCUGCUAGGCAUGCAAGUCGAACGGGAACAUGCGGGUAGCAAUAUUCGCAUGUUCUAGUGGCGAAAGGGUGCGUAACACGUAGCUUACCUACCUUGAAGUGGGGGACAGUCCCGCGGAAGCGGGGUUAAUACCGCAUGUGAUCGAGAGAUUAAAGCCGGGGAUUCGCAAGAACCUGGCGCUUCAAGAUGGGGCCGCGGCCUAUCAGGUAGUUGGCGGGGUAAUGGCCCACCAAGCCUAAGACGGGUAGCUGGUCUGAGAGGACGACCAGCCACACUGGAACUGAGACACGGUCCAGACACCUACGGGUGGCAGCAGCCGAGGAUUUUUCUCAAUGGGCGCAAGCCUGAAGGAGCGACGCCGCGUGGGGGAUGAAGGUCUUCGGAUUGUAAACCCCUGUCAUCUGGGAACAAUGGUUACGACCCAACACGUCGUGACUUGAUAGUACCGGAAGAGGAAGCCGUGGCUAACUCUGUGCCAGCAGCCGCGGUAAUACAGAGACGGCAAGCGUUGUUCGGAUUCAUUGGGCGUAAAGGGUCCGUAGGCGGUCGAGCAAGUCGGGUGUGAAAUCCCGCAGCCUAACUGCGGUAGGUCAUUCGAAACUGUUCGGCUCGAGGGCUGGAGAAGAGACUGGAAUUGUCGGUGUAGCGGUGAAAUGCGUAGAGAUCGACAAGAACACCGGUGGCGAAGGCGGGUCUCUGGACAGUACCUGACGCUGAGGGACGAAAGCUAGGGGAGCAAACGGGAUUAGAUACCCCGGUAGUCCUAGCCCUAAACGGUGCUCACUUGGGUGGUGGGGGGGGAGUCGACCCCCUCCGUGCCGUAGC
Molecule: ribosomal RNA, 831 nt
Filed under: uncultured bacterium
Lineage: Bacteria
Description: bacterial SSU rRNA
Rfam family: Bacterial small subunit ribosomal RNA
Source: RNAcentral